This 468-nucleotide ribosomal RNA is filed under the name uncultured bacterium. RNAcentral's name for it is "partial 16S ribosomal RNA". It matches the Rfam family "Bacterial small subunit ribosomal RNA", at positions 28 to 523 of the family's 1533-position model. The record is from RNAcentral.
GAUGAACGCUGGCGGCGUGCCUAACACAUGCAAGUCGAGCGAUUUACUUCGGUAAAGAGCGGCGGACGGGUGAGUAACGCGUAGGCAACCUGCCCUCAAGCCUGGGAUAACUCCGGGAAACCGGUGCUAAUACCAGAUAAUCAUUGCUUCCGCAUGGAAGCUUUGUAAAAGUUUUUCGCUGGAGGAUGGGCCCGCGGUGCAUUAGCUUGUUGGUGGGGUAAUGGCCUACCAAGGCGACGAUGCAUAGCCGACCUGAGAGGGUGACCGGCCACACUGGGACUGAGACACGGCCCAGACUCCUACGGGAGGCAGCAGUAGGGAAUUUUCCGCAAUGGGCGAAAGCCUGACGGAGCAACGCCGCGUGAGUGAUGACGGCCUUCGGGUUGUAAACCUCUGUUCUUAGGGAAGAAGUUCUGACGGUACCUAAGGAGAAAGCCCCGGCUAACUACGUGCCAGCCGCCGCGGUAA